This 900-nucleotide long non-coding RNA is filed under the name Marmota monax (woodchuck). The record is from RNAcentral. Lineage: Eukaryota; Metazoa; Chordata; Mammalia; Rodentia; Sciuridae.
AGGCGGCCGAAACCUGAGCUUGCGUGGCUGUGGCUCUCGAAACCUGUGCAGCGCCCGGGGGGUGACAGAGAGAGUGGCUCUGCAGGGCCUGCGGCUGGCCCGCCCGCCGUACUGCAGCUCGGGCCGCCGCGCCGUCCUGGAGUCCCAGUGCCUCUUGGGCGCUGCCGCUGGACUCCGCCUUGCCCUGCCCGUGCUGGUGGUGGCCCUGGGGACCUCGGUGCUGGCCUGAGGAGUCAGGCCUGGACCCCCCUUCUCCUCCUGCCUACUCGUUCUGCAUCUCACUGGAUGAGGCCCUGGAUCCCCUCUUUGGGACACUUCUGGGGCCUGGAAGCUUCUACUGAGAAAGUCAGGGACCAGGGACAGGUUCCUGUCCUAGGCCAAGUGCUUCCCCUAGGGAAGUCCUCUUUCCUGGUCCCAGGAACCCCUAAAAGGCCAUCCAGCUGCCUCCGAGGCCAGGCCACUGCUGGACUAGGGCCAGACCUCCUUGGCAGACAAGGGUCUUCCUGGGGACAACCUCCCCUCCCCCUCCAGACUAGGGUCGUUCUUCCCCUGACUACAAAGGCCACCUUCUCUUUGAGACCAUGGGCCCCAAAGACUAGGCCGCUUUCUUCAACGGAGGGAUCCUGGACACCAAGCCACUCCCUCAAUUGGGUCCGCGUCUGUGUUCUCCAACAUGAAGGAGCAAAUCCUUCUUCUGCCUCCCUCUGAAAGGUCUAGCAAAGUCCCGUGCAGCCAAGGUGGGCCUUGAGGGCCCCAGACACCCACUUCCCAAGGCUUUUGGAGCGACCCAUUUCUUUCCUCUGGGCCGCGAUGGGCAGGAGGCUUCGGUGACGGUCCCCUGCGGCCUGGGCUCAACCUCCCAGCUGUGACCGAAUCUGAAUGAAUCGCAUCCCGCAAUGC